CUCAGAACGAACGCUGGCGGCGCGUUUAAACAUGCAAGUCGAACGAGAACUCCGAUGCUUGCAUUGGAGGGAGAGUGGCGAACGGGUGAGUAACACGUGGAUUAUCUGCCUUCAGGUUGGGGAUAACCACCCGAAAGGGUGGCUAAUACCGAAUAAUAUGGCAACAUUAAAGGUGGGGACUUUCGAGCCUAUCGCCUGAAGAUGAGUCCGCGGCCCAUUAGCUCGUUGGUAGGGUAAUGGCCUACCAAGGCUACGAUGGGUAGCCGGCCUGAGAGGGUGACCGGCCACAUUGGGACUGAGACACGGCCCAGACUCCUACGGGAGGCAGCAGUUAAGAAUCUUGCGCAAUGGGCGAAAGCCUGACGCAGCGACGCCGCGUGGACGAUGAAGGCCUACGGGUUGUAAAGUCCAGUAAGCAGGGAAGAAUAAGUAGAAACUAAUAUUUUCUACGAUGACGGUACCUGCCUAAAGCCCCGGCUAACUACGUGCCAGCAGCCGCGGUAAUACGUAGGGUCCAAGCGUUAUCCGGAAUUACUGGGUAUAAAGGGUGCGUAGGCGGGCUUGUGCGUCAGGGGUUAAAGACCCGAGCUUAACUCGGGGAAUGCCCUUGAUACGGCAAGUCUUGAAUGUGAGAGAGGAUGGUAGAAUUCCUGGUGUAGCGGUGAAAUGCGUAGAUAUCAGGAGGAAUACCGGUGGCGAAGGCGGCCAUCUGGCUCAUCAUUGACGCUCAGGCACGAAAGCGUGGGGAGCAAACAGGAUUAGAUACCCUGGUAGUCCACGCCCUAAACGAUGUAUGCUUGGUGUUAGAUGUCUGACAUCUAGUGCCGGAGGAAAUCCGUUAAGCAUACCACCUGGGGAGUACGAUCGCAAGGUUGAAACUCAAAGGAAUUGACGGGGGCCCGCACAAGCGGUGGAUUAUGUGGUUUAAUUCGAUGAUACGCGAAGAACCUUACCUGGGCUUGAACUGUACCCGACAGGUGUAGAGAUACACCCUCCUUCGGGCGGGUAUAGAGGUGCUGCAUGGUUGUCGUCAGCUCGUGUCGUGAGAUGUUGGGUUAAGUCCCGCAACGAGCGCAACCCUUACCCCUUGUUGCCAUCAGGUAAUGCUGAGCACUCUAGGGGAACUGCCGGUGACAAACCGGAGGAAGGUGGGGAUGACGUCAAAUCAUCACGGCCCUUAUGUCCAGGGCUACACACGUGCUACAAUGGCCGGUACAAAGAGUUGCGAUACCGCGAGGUGGAGCUAAUCUCAAAAAACCGGUCUCAGUUCAGAUUGUAGUCUGCAACUCGACUGCAUGAAGCUAGAAUCGCUAGUAAUCGCGGAUCAGCACGCCGCGGUGAUACGUUCCCGGGCCUUGUACACACCGCCCGUCACACCACCCGAGUUGGCAUCACCCGAAGUGGCUGAUCUAACCGCAAGGAGGAAGGUUACUAAGGUGAA
This 1441-nucleotide ribosomal RNA is filed under the name uncultured organism. Its description in RNAcentral is "bacterial SSU rRNA". It matches the Rfam family "Bacterial small subunit ribosomal RNA". The record is from RNAcentral.